CUCAUCUAAAAAUGCAGUAGGGUUAGUAUCCAUGGAUUCAGGAGUUUCCUUAGAUGUCAGGGGUCUACUCUACUAGAUUCCGGUCCUAUCUUUCAAACGGCCUUUGACAGGUAGGUACACUCACCCAUCAAACGGAUUUCUCAACUUUAUUAAAAUGUAAUCUGUCACUGUUUUUACUCUGGAAAAUUUACACAGGCAUGCAUUUACACUUCGUCUUUCCACCAGAAGCUCAAUUUUAGGAGACAGAAACGAAUUUGUCAACACUUUUCGAAUGAAGGAAUACAUACAAAAUGCGUCGCCCUUAACACAACGAUAAAAAGGAGAUGUGGAAGAAAAGGUGAAAUAUGAAAAUACAUUGUAACUGUCGUUGGCAAAGAAAAAAGAUGAAAACGUCGCAAAAAAAUAAUAGCAUACUCAAGAUUUGAGAUCUAAGUGAUGAAUCCUGUAUUUCCAAGUGGAGGAAAUGGCCUCCGUGCUAGCCGCAAAUAACUGGGCCUUCUGUUAUUUGUUGAGCAAAUUACUGGGAGCUGAAAAAUAAGAGGCAUGCAAAAUCACCUUACAGCUGACUUGUUCAGCAAAGUUCAGUGGAUGUAAGGGGUGAAAGCUGUACCUGGCAAGAAAUAAGAGAAAUUCAGCAGGCUAAAAAAAAAUGCUGCCUCCCACUGCUGCCUAUUAAAUAAGUCUUACAAUAUUGUCAGUGGCACCUGGGUUUUACUCAAAGUCAGGGAGAGAAAAUGGAAUCUUGGCAGAUUAAAGCAAUACUCGUGCUGAAAAUGUAAACGCACGUACAGAGAUACACACGUGCACACACACACACACACACACACACAACACACACACAGAGUAUGUAAUUUUUUUCGUUUGUUUCUCUUCAGGCAAAUUAGAGUGUGGACUUCCUGGCUAAUUACCCUUAUCCUGACUCCCAGAGAGCCGACCGCCUUCUCAAUAACUUACAGACUUGCACAUUUAUAUUUUUAAAUCAUCAAGAAUGGGAAAAUUU
RNAcentral lists this long non-coding RNA (1000 nucleotides) under Felis catus (domestic cat). RNAcentral describes it as "lncRNA (ENSFCAG00000047886.1)". The record is from RNAcentral. Lineage: Eukaryota; Metazoa; Chordata; Mammalia; Carnivora; Felidae.